UACACUCCUGCGGGAGGCAGCAGUGGGGAAUAUUGGACAAUGGGCGCAAGCCUGAUCCAGCCAUGCCGCGUGAGUGAUGAAGGCCCUAGGGUUGUAAAGCUCUUUUGUGCGGGAAGAUAAUGACGGUACCGCAAGAAUAAGCCCCGGCUAACUUCGUGCCAGCAGCCGCGGUAAUACGAAGGGGGCUAGCGUUGCUCGGAAUCACUGGGCGUAAAGGGUGCGUAGGCGGGUCUUUAAGUCAGGGGUGAAAUCCUGGAGCUCAACUCCAGAACUGCCUUUGAUGCUGAAGAUCUUGAGUUCGGGAGAGGUGAGUGGAACUGCGAGUGUAGAGGUGAAAUUCGUAGAUAUUCGCAAGAACACCAGUGGCGAAGGCGGCUCACUGGCCCGAUACUGACGCUGAGGCACGAAAGCGUGGGGAGCAAACAGGAUUAGAUACCCCGGUAGUCCCAU
RNAcentral lists this ribosomal RNA (450 nucleotides) under uncultured organism. RNAcentral's name for it is "partial 16S ribosomal RNA". It matches the Rfam family "Bacterial small subunit ribosomal RNA", at positions 332 to 798 of the family's 1533-position model. The record is from RNAcentral.